UACGUAGGGGGCAAGCGUUGUCCGGAUUUAUUGGGCGUAAAGAGCGUGUAGGCGGCCACACAGGUCAGCUGUGAAAACUCGAGGCUCAACCUCGAGACGUCGGUUGAAACCGUAUGGCUAGAGUCCGGAAGAGGAGAGUGGAAUUCCCGGUGUAGCGGUGAAAUGCGCAGAUAUCGGGAAGAACACCCGUGGCGAAGGCGGCUCUCUGGGACGGUACUGACGCUGAGACGCGAAAGCGUGGGGGAGCGAACAGG
Molecule: ribosomal RNA, 254 nt
Filed under: uncultured bacterium
Lineage: Bacteria
Description: partial 16S ribosomal RNA
Rfam family: Bacterial small subunit ribosomal RNA
Source: RNAcentral